This 586-nucleotide small RNA is filed under the name Pongo abelii (Sumatran orangutan). RNAcentral's name for it is "processed transcript". The record is from RNAcentral. Lineage: Eukaryota; Metazoa; Chordata; Mammalia; Primates; Hominidae.
ACUAGGAGCGGCUCUCGGUGCAGCGGGACAGGGCGAAGCGGCCUGCGCCCACGGAGCGCGUGACACUGCCCGGAAGGCACCGCCACCCUUGCCCCCUCAGCUGCCCACUCGUGAUCUUCAGCGGCCUCCGCGCGCGCACGAUGCCCUCGGCCACCAGCCACAGCGGGAGCGGCAGCAAGUCGUCCGGACCGCCACCGCCGUCGGGUUCCUCCGGGAGUGAGGCGGCCGCGGGAGCCGGGGCCGCCGCGCCGGCUUCUCAGCAUCCCGCAACCGGCACCGGCGCUGUCCAGACCGAGGCCAUGAAGCAGAUUCUCGGGGUGAUCGACAAGAAACUUCGGAACCUGGAGAAGAAAAAGGUGCCAGGAGUUGGCGGGGAAGGGAGGGGUGGCUGCGGCCGGGCUCUGCGCCCCCUCCGACCCUGGUCGCUGGAGCCUUCGCUUCUUUUCGUCUCGGGAGCGUUACUAGGUCCCCGCCUCCCACCCCUGGCCCACACGCCCGGUCUCCACGUUCAGCGGGAGCUUCGUGCCCAGAAAACGGGCUCUUGGAGGAGGCACUUGUCACCUGACUCGGACGCGGCACUGUCCCC